CCUAAGUGUAGUGAUGAAGUGCUGACUAGUGUUCCUAAGUGAAAGAAGGCUGUGUUGUGCCAUAUGUAGAAAAUAUGUAUAUUGGAUGUUUCUUUUAGGUCUGGGUUACAGUGCUGUUUGCCAUGAGUACAAUGUUAAUGAAUCAGUAUAUAUUAAAUAAAGUGUCUUAAACAUGCGUUAACAUAAAACACGCACACAGCAAGAUUAUGUAUUGAUCGGUCAAUAAAAAUGUAACUAGAGACUCCCAGCAACCUAACCCUGUAUUUCCCCUAGGAGCAAUGUUCAGUAUUUGCCAAUGCAGUGUUUGUGGUGACUUUAUGGAACAUAAAACUAACUCGUAAGAGAAUGACUAAUUUUUUUGUAAUAUUCAAACUCAUAUUGUCUUCCUGGCUUUUGAGAAGGCUA
This 405-nucleotide long non-coding RNA is filed under the name Homo sapiens (human). RNAcentral describes it as "LHRI_LNC259.1". Lineage: Eukaryota; Metazoa; Chordata; Mammalia; Primates; Hominidae. The record is from RNAcentral.